UGGGGAAUCUUAGACAAUGGGGGAAACCCUGAUCUAGCGAUGCCGCGUGAGUGAAGAAGGCCUUCGGGUUGUAAAGCUCUUUUACCUGUGACGAUGAUGACGGUAGCAGGAGAAAAAGCACCGGCAAACUCUGUGCCAGCAGCCGCGGUAAGACAGAGGGUGCUAGCGUUGUUCGGAUUGACUGGGCGUAAAGGGCGCGUAGGCGGUUAUAUUAGUCAGGCGUGAAAGCCCCGGGCUUAACCCGGGAAUUGCGCUUGAAACGGUAUGGCUAGAGACCGGAAGAGGAAAGCAGAAUUCCUAGUGUAGAGGUGAAAUUCGUAGAUAUUAGGAGGAAUACCAGAGGCGAAGGCGGCUUUCUGGUCCGGUUCUGACGCUGAGGCGCGAAAGCGUGGGGAGCAAA
RNAcentral lists this ribosomal RNA (400 nucleotides) under uncultured bacterium. Its description in RNAcentral is "bacterial SSU rRNA". It matches the Rfam family "Bacterial small subunit ribosomal RNA", at positions 355 to 772 of the family's 1533-position model. The record is from RNAcentral.